Molecule: transfer RNA, 88 nt
Filed under: Streptomyces virginiae
Lineage: Bacteria; Bacillati; Actinomycetota; Actinomycetes; Kitasatosporales; Streptomycetaceae
Also listed under: 1 other name
Description: tRNA-Ser
Source: RNAcentral
CGCGCAAAAGCGGAAGGGCCGCACCCCCUUGACGGGGGUACGGCCCUAUGGUGCCGACAGACGGCGGAUCGCUCCGCCUGGCGCGCCC